Long non-coding RNA from Acyrthosiphon pisum (pea aphid), 147 nucleotides. RefSeq lists it as uncharacterized. The transcript is spliced from 5 exons. The record is from RefSeq and is a predicted model, not a curated record. Lineage: Eukaryota; Metazoa; Arthropoda; Insecta; Hemiptera; Aphididae.
UUUUAUUUAGACGUUUUAAAAAAUACUAUUGAAGCGAUUGCUGAAAAAACGGGUUAUGGCCGUGAGGAACAUUUUUUGAGUCUUAUUUUUCAUUAAUCUUUGUAGUUUAUUUUUGUUUGAAAGUUUUUUGGUGAAUUUACAUAAGAA